GAGAGUAGGCGCAGGUGGUUGCAGAUCAGUUUCAAUGAGACUGGUUUGAGGAAAGUCCGGGCUUCCGAAAGACCAAACUUGCUGGGUAACGCCCAGUGCGAGUGAUCGUGAGGAUAGUGCCACAGAAAGAUACCGCCUGCUAAGGUAAAACCCUUCGGGUUUUACCUUAGCAGGUAAGGGUGCAAAGGUGCGGUAAGAGCGCACCAGCAGCGUCGAGAGGCGCUGGCUCGGUAAACCCCGGUUGGGAGCAAGGCGAAAGGAGCUAUGGUUGGUCUUUUACCAGUUCCGUUAUCCAAGAGCCGCUAGAGGCAUCUGGUAACAGAUGUCCCAGAUAGAUAACUGCCCUCGAAAGAGAACAGAACCCGGCUUAUGUCCUGCUCUCUCUC
Molecule: RNase P RNA, 386 nt
Filed under: Aetokthonos hydrillicola CCALA 1050
Lineage: Bacteria; Bacillati; Cyanobacteriota; Cyanophyceae; Nostocales; Hapalosiphonaceae
Also listed under: 1 other name
Description: RNase P RNA component class A
Rfam family: Bacterial RNase P class A
About the family: Ribonuclease P (RNase P) is a ubiquitous endoribonuclease, found in archaea, bacteria and eukarya as well as chloroplasts and mitochondria. Its best characterised activity is the generation of mature 5'-ends of tRNAs by cleaving the 5'-leader elements of precursor-tRNAs.
Source: RNAcentral